Long non-coding RNA from Micropterus salmoides (largemouth bass), 900 nucleotides. RefSeq lists it as uncharacterized. Lineage: Eukaryota; Metazoa; Chordata; Actinopteri; Centrarchiformes; Centrarchidae. The record is from RefSeq and is a predicted model, not a curated record. The transcript is spliced from 2 exons.
AAUGACCCUGUGUGAUCUGACCUCCAUUUUUUGGCCAUCACCACUUCAACCAGGCGACAACUGCGUGAGUGAAGUUGAAAGAUGACAUGUCACUCGCAAGUGUGGAUGCAGCAAACAGCAUUGUUGCUACGACAGCCAGGAAACUGGGCUUCCCAAUCCAAGAGUCCAGGAGGUGUACGGGUCCUGGAGGGAUUGAAGAAUGCAGCCAAUCAUCUUCUCAGCAGGCUGAACGAUACGCAGCAGUCUGCCCUUGUCCUUAGCAGGACCAUCAUUGUCAGCUCAGCUGCCCCGGGAAGUACAUCCACAUCUGCUGAUGUUCAGCUCCCACUUGAGGUCCUGGGUGGUGAUGGUGCCCAGGAAGUGGAAGGACCAGGAUGAAAAAAAGUUGUGAUUUGGACUUAUUUGCAGGCGUUACUCAUUUUAUUAGAACCAAUGACCACUAAACUAAAAUUACUAAAUGAAGCCUUUCGGCAGUGCCUACAUUAUUAACCACUCUUGAGUGCCAGUCUUUCAGAAGGGCCCAGAGCGAAAAUGUAGGCCUUUAUUAUUUUAUUUUUGGAUUUGUGUGACAUAUAUUGUGUCAGGAGAGACUUCGAGUGAACAUCAAAAAUUUAAUUUUUAUGUGUACAAUGAAUAUGAUAAAUGUGGCUUUAGUGAUUGGACACCAUUGUGAAGAUAUGCUAUUAAAGGGGGCCCCCAGAGGGGGGGUCAGUAAGGGCCCACAACACAUUUUAGCCCAGGGUCCUCUAGUGUCUUUGAUUGGAAAUCCACAUAUGUUUGGCUAUGUGUACUUCAUCUUUUUUAUUUUAUUUUACGGGACUAACCAAUGUUGUGAGUUAAACUCCAUCCAUUUGCAAAUAUUGUAUGACAAGGAUUAAAGGGCAACAUGAAAUACUUGAA